RNAcentral lists this transfer RNA (85 nucleotides) under Yarrowia lipolytica. RNAcentral describes it as "tRNA-Gly". It matches the Rfam family "tRNA". Rfam says of the family: Transfer RNA (tRNA) molecules are approximately 80 nucleotides in length. The record is from RNAcentral. Lineage: Eukaryota; Fungi; Ascomycota; Dipodascomycetes; Dipodascales.
GGGCGGUUGGUGUAGUGGUAACAUAUCUGCCUUCCAUUGAGUUUGUUAGGCAGGUGUGCCAGGGGUUCAAUUUCCCUACCGCUCA